CAUGAUCGACUUUAACCAGUCGGGACAUUCUUUCUUGUAAUGCCCCUUUUUCUUGCAGUGUAGACACUGAUCUUUUUCUACUAUGAUAGGCUUUUGGUGAUGCUGCUGCAUAGGAGCCUUUCCUCGUGCCUUGAAAGAGGAGUUAGCAUUCUUUUUCCUGUUGUCCUUCACAUAGUGCAAUGAACCACCAUAUGAGGAUCUAAUUCUGUCCUCUUCCUGCACGCACAUGGCUAUCAUUUUUUC
This 243-nucleotide long non-coding RNA is filed under the name Setaria italica (foxtail millet). RNAcentral's name for it is "long non-coding RNA (SITA_LNC001017)". Lineage: Eukaryota; Viridiplantae; Streptophyta; Magnoliopsida; Poales; Poaceae. The record is from RNAcentral.